AUGAGUGCAUUUAUAGAAUACUCAGUUGUAUAUUUCCAUUGAGAGACUUUUCUUGGAAUGCUGGACUGCAGCAUGAAAGUUUUAGCUGUUGACUGGCUCAACUUUAAAGAAGCUUCUACACACUGGAAAUUCUAUUAAGGUGUGUAUAGAGCUGCAUCAUUUUUGCUUGAUGGCUGAAUAAUAUGUAUUCAACAUUACCCCUCAUUUUACCUGCUAGAGGAAAGGAGGAAUAAUAUGGAAACACAUGGAGGUUUGAGCAGAGCAGUGGUGGAGUCCAGGGGUAUGUUUGGAAGUAUGCUGUAAAUCCCCUCAGUUAAUGUGGUAGUACUGUUGCCAGCUAGGGUAUCUGUCUUGGUGUAUUUUGACUUCUCUUGGAAAUUGGUGAAUCUUUCUCUCUCCUCUCUUCUCUCUUUUUU
RNAcentral lists this long non-coding RNA (416 nucleotides) under Ictidomys tridecemlineatus (thirteen-lined ground squirrel). RNAcentral describes it as "lncRNA (ENSSTOG00000034697.1)". Lineage: Eukaryota; Metazoa; Chordata; Mammalia; Rodentia; Sciuridae. The record is from RNAcentral.